This 429-nucleotide ribosomal RNA is filed under the name uncultured bacterium. RNAcentral's name for it is "bacterial SSU rRNA". It matches the Rfam family "Bacterial small subunit ribosomal RNA", at positions 355 to 776 of the family's 1533-position model. The record is from RNAcentral.
UGGGGAAUUUUGGACAAUGGGCGAAAGCCUGAUCCAGCCAUUCCGCGUGCAGGAUGAAGGCCCUCGGGUUGUAAACUGCUUUUGUACGGAACGAAACGCGCUGAGCUAAUACCUCGGCGUAAUGACGGUACCGUAAGAAUAAGCACCGGCUAACUACGUGCCAGCAGCCGCGGUAAUACGUAGGGUGCAAGCGUUAAUCGGAAUUACUGGGCGUAAAGCGUGCGCAGGCGGUGAUGUAAGACAGAUGUGAAAUCCCCGGGCUCAACCUGGGAACUGCAUUUGUGACUGCAUCGCUGGAGUGCGGCAGAGGGGGAUGGAAUUCCGCGUGUAGCAGUGAAAUGCGUAGAUAUGCGGAGGAACACCGAUGGCGAAGGCAAUCCCCUGGGCCUGCACUGACGCUCAUGCACGAAAGCGUGGGGAGCAAACAGG